RNAcentral lists this long non-coding RNA (156 nucleotides) under Homo sapiens (human). RNAcentral's name for it is "RNA, Ro-associated Y5". The stretch from base 6 to 84 matches the Rfam family "Y RNA". From Rfam's summary of the family: Y RNAs are components of the Ro ribonucleoprotein particle (Ro RNP), in association with Ro60 and La proteins. The Y RNAs and Ro60 and La proteins are well conserved, but the function of the Ro RNP is not known. In humans the RNA component can be one of four small RNAs -- hY1, hY3, hY4 and hY5. The record is from RNAcentral. Lineage: Eukaryota; Metazoa; Chordata; Mammalia; Primates; Hominidae.
AACACAGUUGGUCCGAGUGUUGUGGGUUAUUGUUAAGUUGAUUUAACAUUGUCUCCCCCCACAACCGCGCUUGACUAGCUUGCUGUUUUGCACUAAUAACAGUAGUAGACAACGUUUACAUAAAUCAAUAAAAACGCAUAUAAAAGUAACCUUUAG